This is a long non-coding RNA of Gadus chalcogrammus (walleye pollock), 663 nucleotides long. RefSeq lists it as uncharacterized. The transcript is spliced from 3 exons. The record is from RefSeq and is a predicted model, not a curated record. Lineage: Eukaryota; Metazoa; Chordata; Actinopteri; Gadiformes; Gadidae.
ACAGCUACAGAGCUACGAGCUAGUUGAAAUAUAUAACACAUUUCGACUUUAAAAACAAUGAUGUGAUGACAUCAGCAUAGCAUUCCAAUAGCAUUUUAGGACGUCCACAGAAGGCCAGGAGUAGCUAUACCUGUUUCACAGGCACAGCCUCACUUCCCAGGGUGCGCUUCUUUUUAUGCUUUCUUUUUGUCAUUCAUAUGUUAGUACCAAACCACGACAUCAGAGACGUCACGGUCCACAAAGCUAGCAUUUUUCAAGCUAACACCGGAAUAAUACAUAAAAAAAAAUUGGCAAGGGUGAAGGUUAUAUGUUGGACGAAAGUGACCUGGCCCCGAUGCAAACUCAACCCCAGAGUUAUGAGGACACGAUCGAGGCCAAGACAGCGGGGAAGACAGAGACAGUGGCGGAAGCCAAGAAGGGCAGCAGCUGCCCCACGUGUUGCACAAAGACCCGGGAUUGCCUGAUGAGCGCAGAGUGUGGACGGGCCCUCCAGAUCUCCAGCGUGGUGGCUAUGUGUGGCCGGUGCAUCCGGAUGUGGAUGUAAUCUGAUCUUGGAUGCAAAUGGCGUGGAUGUUUUGAGGAGCAAAUGAGAAGGAAAUUAUUCUCAGUUGGAUGCAAAAUAUUGCCCACAAAACCUAAAGUAAUGACAUCUACCACCACCCC